ACUCCCUCUAUACCAAAAGCUUCCUCUAGAAUACGUAAGCACAACUUUGCUAUUGCAGUCUACAUGCAUGAUCAUUUAACUCACAAAAUAGAUGCAAGUGGAUUUGUCAAAGUUGGCACAAAGAUACUCAGGUGGGUAACUAAGAGGUAUUUACUAUUUCAGUAGCAGACCAUGACAAGCAUUAGAGUAAAGGUAUGAGAAACAGUACUUGUGACUGGCAUACAUUGAUUUAUUUUUAAUUCAAUAGUUAACCCUCUAUUUUGCAUUAACUUUUAAGGGUUUUUUUUUCCUUUGUUUUUGCGAUCUUCAGUUAGGAACCACAAGAAGAUACAUACACUUAAGAGUUGGGGCAAUAGAACAAAGAAUACUGAAAACGUUAAUAACCCACUUUACAAGAUGUUUUGGUCAGGUUUUUUAAGCUAACUAAUGACUUUCAUAGGAGAAAUGACACAUUAGCUCUUAUAUUUAAUUUCAGUGCCAAAUAAUGUACUUAAGUAAUUUAUCACUUGCCAGACAGGAAAAUAGAAAUAAUUCAGCCAAUAGAUUAUCAGAGAAA
Chrysemys picta bellii (western painted turtle) is the source of this 556-nucleotide non-coding RNA. NCBI's taxonomy places the organism in Eukaryota, Metazoa, Chordata, Testudines, Emydidae. The record is from RefSeq and is a predicted model, not a curated record.